RNAcentral lists this ribosomal RNA (564 nucleotides) under Malassezia furfur. RNAcentral describes it as "eukaryotic LSU rRNA". It matches the Rfam family "Eukaryotic large subunit ribosomal RNA", at positions 106 to 657 of the family's 3401-position model. Lineage: Eukaryota; Fungi; Basidiomycota; Malasseziomycetes; Malasseziales; Malasseziaceae. The record is from RNAcentral.
AGCUCAAAUUUGAAAGCUGGUACCUUCGGUAUCCGCGUUGUAACCUCGAGACACGUUUUCCGUGCGGCGCUAUGGACAAGUUCCUUGGAACAGGACAUCGUAGAGGGUGAAAAUCCCGUACUUGCCAUGGAUGUACCGUGCUUUGCGAUACGUGCUCUAAGAGUCGAGUUGUUUGGGAUUGCAGCUCAAAAUGGGUGGUAGACUCCAUCUAAAGCUAAAUAUCGGGGAGAGACCGAUAGCGAACAAGUACCGUGAGGGAAAGAUGAAAAGCACUUUGGAAAGAGAGUUAAAAGUACGUGAAAUUGUCGAAAGGGAAGCGCUUGAAGUCAGCCAUGCCGCUCAGGACUCAGCCUGGCUUUUGCUUGGUGUAUUUCCUGGGUAGCAAGUCAGCAUUGGUUUGGAUCGUCGGAGAAGCAUAGUCGGAAUGUGGCGCCCUCGGGCGUGUUAUAGCCUUCUAUUGGAUACGACGAUCUAGACCAAGGAACGCAGCGCGCCUUAUGGCGGGUCUUCGGACACCUUCGCGCUUAGGAUGCUGGCGUAAUGGCUUUAAGUGGCCCGUCUUGA